UUCAAGAAUUGGGGUGUGACAUUUUGAAAAGAGUGCCACAGUUUUGAGUGAGACUCAUGAUGGAAUGGUGAUGUCGGCCUUGAAUUUCCUGCAUUGAGAAAGGUUAGUUGAAAUUUUUUUAUUUUUCUUUCUUUUUUCUUUUGUCUCUUUUUUCUUUUCUUUUUUGUUGUUUUGAAUUUUUUCUUGUUUUCUUUCUUUUUUCUUUUGCUUAUUUUUUCUUUUCUUUUUUAUUAAUAGGAUGAACAGGUAGUCAGAAAUCAAAGGGAUCUUGUUCACAUGGUCCUCCAUAAUCUGCACAAGAUCCUUCAGAGGUGGUAUCUUCUGUUUCUGAUUCUCUUUUCAUCUUGAUGAAUUGUAAAUAUUCUUUGGCUGUUUUGGGAUCCUCUUCAAAGAGUUGGAACAUCUUGACUUGCUUUUGAGAAAGAG
This 426-nucleotide long non-coding RNA is filed under the name Salvia miltiorrhiza (redroot sage). RNAcentral's name for it is "long non-coding RNA (SMIL_LNC004497)". The record is from RNAcentral. Lineage: Eukaryota; Viridiplantae; Streptophyta; Magnoliopsida; Lamiales; Lamiaceae.